RNAcentral lists this ribosomal RNA (644 nucleotides) under uncultured bacterium. RNAcentral describes it as "bacterial SSU rRNA". The stretch from base 1 to 542 matches the Rfam family "Bacterial small subunit ribosomal RNA", at positions 338 to 873 of the family's 1533-position model. The record is from RNAcentral.
CCUACGGGAGGCAGCAGUAAGGAAUAUUGGUCAAUGGGCGGAAGCCUGAACCAGCCAUGCCGCGUGCAGGAAGACGGCCCUACGGGUUGUAAACUGCUUUUGUACCGGAAUAAACCUUGAUAUGUAUAUCAAGCUGAAUGUACGGUAAGAAUAAGGAUCGGCUAACUCCGUGCCAGCAGCCGCGGUAAUACGGAGGAUCCAAGCGUUAUCCGGAUUUAUUGGGUUUAAAGGGUGCGUAGGUGGCUUAUUAAGUCAGGGGUGAAAGACGGUAGCUUAACUAUCGCAGUGCCUUUGAUACUGAUGAGCUUGAAUCCACUAGAGGUAGGCGGAAUGUGACAAGUAGCGGUGAAAUGCAUAGAUAUGUCACAGAACACCAAUUUGCGAAGGCAGCUUACUAUGGUGGUAUUGACACUGAGGCACGAAAGCGUUGGGGAUCAAACAGGAUUAGAUACCCUGGUAGUCCACGCCCUAAACGAUGAAUACUCGGAUGUUGGCCGAUAUACGUACGUAGCGUCUACGUACGAAGACGUAAGUAAGUUACCGUACCGUACGGGUAGGUACGGUAACCGGCCGACGGUUAGGAACGUACGUUAAGGAAAGUUAGUUACGGCGNGAGAGAGCGACGGACGACGACGAGGAGGAGG